GAUGAACGCUGGCGGCGUGCCUAAUACAUGCAAGUCGAGCGAACAGACGAGGAGCUUGCUCCUCUGACGUUAGCGGCGGACGGGUGAAUAACACGUGGAUAACCUACCUAUAAGACUGGGAUAACUUCGGGAAACCGGAGCUAAUACCGGAUAAUAUAUUGAACCGCAUGGUUCAAUAGUGAAAGACGGUUUUGCUGUCACUUAUAGAUGGAUCCGCGCCGCAUUAGCUAGUUGGUAAGGUAACGGCUUACCAAGGCGACGAUGCGUAGCCGACCUGAGAGGGUGAUCGGCCACACUGGAACUGAGACACGGUCCAGACUCCUACGGGAGGCAGCAGUAGGGAAUCUUCCGCAAUGGGCGAAAGCCUGACGGAGCAACGCCGCGUGAGUGAUGAAGGUCUUCGGAUCGUAAAACUCUGUUAUUAGGGAAGAACAAAUGUGUAAGUAACUAUGCACGUCUUGACGGUACCUAAUCAGAAAGCCACGGCUAACUACGUGC
Molecule: ribosomal RNA, 498 nt
Filed under: uncultured bacterium
Lineage: Bacteria
Description: partial 16S ribosomal RNA
Rfam family: Bacterial small subunit ribosomal RNA
Source: RNAcentral